Molecule: ribosomal RNA, 348 nt
Filed under: Erpobdella ochoterenai
Lineage: Eukaryota; Metazoa; Annelida; Clitellata; Hirudinida; Erpobdellidae
Description: partial 12S ribosomal RNA
Source: RNAcentral
ACCCUAUUAUUAUUAGUUUAAAGUAUGAUGGGGGAUUACGAGCAAUAGCUUAAAAACCCAAGAAUUUGGCGGUGUCUUAUUCAAUCAGGGGAAUCUGUCUCGUAAUCGAUAGCCCACGAAUAAUAUAUCUACCUUUAAAAAUUAGUUUGUGUACUGCCGACUAUAUAGGCCCUUAAAGCAUCCUAUAAAAAAUUUUUAAAUUGUAUGUCAGGUCAAAGUGCAGCUUACAUGUAGAAGAAGAUGGAUUACAGUCUAUAUAAUAGGCUAGAUUAUAGUAUAGUACUAUAUUCAAGAAGAACUUGAUAGUAAUUGUAUUUAUAAAAUAUCAUGAAACUGAACUUAAGACAA